AUUUUUUUUAUUAUUUUUCUUUGAGAAUGAAGCAUUUUAUGGUUUGGGUUUGUUACAGUGAUGAUGAAAUUGCAUAUCUUUUCCUUUACAAAACAAGUGGUGCACAUUGAUUCAACUUUAGAAGGAGAGUGUUUUAUAUUUUUUUUUUUUCGAAAUGUGCAUGAUUCAUGGUCCAGCUAGGUUUCAUCUAGGUAGCAUUUAUUUUCAUUUAUCACUUUACGUUUUUUUAGGUGUUGUCACAUCAUGAUAUUUGUGAGUUUGUUUUAUAAUUUCCUUGAUUGAAAUAAAAUGAGCAUUUCAUUUUUUUAGUUUGCAUUUUAAUAACUAUAAUUGCAUUAUUCAGUUUUAUAUUUUCUUCUAUUUGAAUGUUGUCUAAAGUUUUU
Molecule: long non-coding RNA, 383 nt
Filed under: Vigna radiata
Lineage: Eukaryota; Viridiplantae; Streptophyta; Magnoliopsida; Fabales; Fabaceae
Description: long non-coding RNA (VRAD_LNC017593)
Source: RNAcentral